RNAcentral lists this ribosomal RNA (497 nucleotides) under uncultured bacterium. RNAcentral describes it as "partial 16S ribosomal RNA". It matches the Rfam family "Bacterial small subunit ribosomal RNA", at positions 28 to 507 of the family's 1533-position model. The record is from RNAcentral.
GAUGAACGCUGGCGGCGUGCCUAAUACAUGCAAGUCGAGCGAACGGACGAGAAGCUUGCUUUUCUGAUGUUAGCGGCGGACGGGUGAGUAACACGUGGAUAACCUACCUAUAAGACUGGGAUAACUUCGGGAAACCGGAGCUAAUACCGGAUAAUAUUUUGAACCGCAUGGUUCAAAAGUGAAAGACGGUCUUGCUGUCACUUAUAGAUGGAUCCGCGCUGCAUUAGCUAGUUGGUAAGGUAACGGCUUACCAAGGCAACGAUGCAUAGCCGACCUGAGAGGGGGAUCGGCCGCCCUGGAACUGAGACCGGGUCCAGACUCCUACGGGAGGCAGCAGUAGGGAAUCUGCCGCAAUGGGCGAAAGCCUGACGGAGCAACGCCGCGUGAGUGAUGAAGGUCUUCGGAUCGGAAAACUCUGUUAUUAGGGAAGAACAUAUGUGUAAGUAACUGUGCACAUCUUGACGGUACCUAAUCAGAAAGCCACGGCUAACUACGUG